This is an RNA transcript of Propithecus coquereli (Coquerel's sifaka), 1770 nucleotides long. It is a transcript of the gene named histone-lysine N-methyltransferase EZH2 pseudogene, with no coding region annotated. The record is from RefSeq and is a predicted model, not a curated record. The transcript has a single exon. Lineage: Eukaryota; Metazoa; Chordata; Mammalia; Primates; Indriidae.
UCUGAACUCACCGAACAGCAGCUCCCAGGCGCACUUCCUCCUGAAUGUACACCCAACAUAGAUGGACCAAAUGCUAAAUCUGUUCAGAGGGAGCAAAGCUUACAUUCAUUUCAUAUGCUUUUCUGUAGGCGAUGUUUUAAAUAUGACUGCUUCCUACAUCCUUUUCAUGCAACACCUAACACUUAUAAGCGGAAGAACACGGAAGUAGCUCUAGACAACAAACCUUGUGGACCACAGUGUUACCAGGAUUUAGAGGGAGCAAAGGAGUUUGCUGCUGCCCUCACCGCUGAGCGGAUAAAGACCCCACCAAAACGCCCAGGAGGCCGCAGAAGAGGACGGCUUCCCAAUAACAGCAGCAGACCUAGCACCCCCACCAUUAAUGUGCUGGAGUCCAAGGAUACAGACAGUGAUAGGGAAGCAGGGACUGAAACAGGGGGUGAGAACAAUGAUAAAGAAGAAGAAGAGAAAAAAGAUGAAACCUCGAGCUCCUCUGAAGCAAAUUCUCGGUGUCAAACACCAAUAAAGAUGAAGCCAAAUAUUGAGCCUCCCGAGAAUGUGGAGUGGAGUGGCGCUGAAGCUUCGAUGUUUAGAGUCCUCAUUGGCACUUACUAUGACAAUUUCUGUGCCAUUGCUAAGCUGAUUGGGACCAAAACAUGUAGACAGGUGUAUGAGUUUAGAGUGAAAGAGUCUAGCAUCAUCGCUCCAGCUCCUGCUGAGGAUGUUGAUACUCCUCCACGAAAAAAGAAAAGGAAACACCGGUUAUGGGCUUCACACUGUAGAAAGAUACAACUGAAAAAGGAUGGCUCCUCUAACCAUGUUUACAACUAUCAACCAUGUGAUCAUCCACGGCAGCCUUGUGACAGUUCGUGCCCUUGUGUGAUAGCACAAAAUUUUUGUGAGAAGUUUUGUCAGUGUAGUUCGGAGUGUCAAAACCGCUUUCCUGGAUGCCGUUGCAAAGCACAGUGCAACACCAAGCAGUGCCCGUGCUAUCUGGCUGUCCGAGAGUGUGACCCUGACCUCUGUCUAACUUGUGGAGCUGCUGACCAUUGGGACAGUAAAAACGUGUCCUGCAAGAACUGCAGUAUUCAGCGGGGCUCCAAAAAGCAUUUAUUGCUGGCACCAUCUGAUGUGGCAGGCUGGGGGAUUUUUAUCAAAGAUCCUGUACAGAAAAAUGAAUUCAUCUCAGAAUACUGUGGAGAGAUUAUUUCUCAAGAUGAAGCUGACAGAAGAGGGAAAGUGUAUGAUAAAUACAUGUGCAGUUUUUUGUUCAACUUGAACAAUGAUUUUGUGGUGGACGCAACCCACAGGGUAACAAAAUUCGUUUUGCGAAUCAUUCAGUAAAUCCAAACUGCUAUGCAAAAGUUAUAAUGGUUAAUGGCGAUCACAGGAUAGGUAUUUUUGCUAAGAGAGCCAUCCAGACUGGUGAAGAGCUGUUUUUUGAUUACAGAUACAGCCAGGCGGAUGCCCUGAAGUAUGUCGGCAUCGAAAGAGAAAUGGAAAUCCCUUGACAUCUGCUACCUCCUCCCCUCCUCUCUGAAACAAACAGCUGCCUUAGAUUCAGGAACCUCGAGUACUGUGGGCAAUUUAGGAAAAGAAAAUGCAGUUUGAAAUUCAGAAUUUGCAAAGUACUGUAAGAAUAAUUUAUAGUAAUGAGUUUAAAAAUCAACUUUUUAUUGCCUUCUCACCAGCUGCAAAGUGUUUUGUACCAGUGAAUUUUUGCAAUAAUGCAGCAUGGUACAUUUUUCAACUUUGAAUAAAGAAUACUUGAAC